AAUCAGGGAAAUUAAUCAGUGCUUCAUCUUCUCAGAAUUCUCGAGAGAGAAGCUAGAGAGAAGUUUGGAUGAACAGUGGAGCACCAAAUUGCUAAACUGAAAAUUAGAAGUGCCACCCGAUCACCAAUUUCAGGCCUUAUUGAAAAUGCAGUUGUGGAGAAAUAUGAAAAGACACCCUGCAUGCAUUUUUUUUGCCACAAAUGAACAAAUGAUUUCAGAGACCAGCAAAACCCUAAAUGUCCUCUAUGUUUUCAAUGGCACAUAUGAACCCUACUUAAUCUAUUGGCUUUUUCCUUUGCAAAUGGCAUUUUAAGCAAAUAAUGCCUACAGGUAACUAAAUUAGAUCACAUAAAAUUGCUGUAGACCUGUAUCAUUUUUCUUAGGAGUUGAUCAAGAAUCCUCAGGGCUUUGACAAAUAUAUUUUCACUAUUCUAUAAACUAAUCGAUAUCUUAAUUUUUAGCUGAACAUCCCUAUGAAUUGGCUAUGUACCUACAUUUCCUACAUCAAAACUUAUUCCCAUCAUGGACAGAGAUCUUUGCAAUGGCUGAGUGGUUGAUGAGCCUUCUGGAGAGUGAGGAUACUGAAUUCUUCACUCAUCUUCAGCAGUGUUUCAGAAAGAAUUGUGCAGUUGACCUAAAAGAUUUCCUGGUGGAGUUGAUAGUUCGAGAAAGAGAGAAAGCUCAAGAACUCUACUCCGCCACAGACAGAUCUGAGCAAAACAAACAUCUAACCAAGGAAUUACUGGCAAGCCCAGUAUUUUCCUCAGAAAGUGGAUGGGUGAAGGUUUUGUGAGUAUACUGGAUUUUCCUGCAGUGUUCUUGAUUUGGGAUCAAUUGUACAUGCCAGAUUGGAAUCAAAAGGUGAUGGAGAAUUUCUGUCUCUCAAUCUUUAUGCUAUUAAAGGAUUCACUAAUGGCUGCCAAUGAUUAUCCAGCUAUAAGAGAGGUGUUUUUGUUCUAUGGUUGUCAUCUUCUUACAGCUGAUAUUCAAAGGGCCUGGAUUCAUCUUCAGCAAGGUGGUUUACCAUCUGACAUCCCUGGGCUUAGCAGACAAAAUCAAAGGCCGCUUGCUGAUCUGUCUCCAAGGCUCAGUUCAAUGGAAGCUGGAAAGGUUUCGCUUGGCUUCCAGGACCUCUUGCAAGUUGAAGUGAAGGAUGUUUUACUGAAGCUAGUUUUACCAGUACCACAGGUUGAGAUAUCACACAUUGAAACUUGGUUGAAAGAAUUUGACCCUCUUGCUGUGGAGUUAACAGUUUCAGUAUUUUAUGGCCUUGAAAAACUGUGUUCCAAGACUAGCUCUUUUAAACUCUCUCUUCUACAGAAAACCAAAGGAAAAACAGCAAAAAAAAGUGAAACCACUGAAUUUAUUGUUCGGUUCAAUGAAACAUUUGCCUUUGAUUGUCUGGAUCCAUCUGAGUUUAUAAAUAUGGCAGAAGCUAAACCCUAUAUUGUAUUAAAAGUAGUUUAG
Gopherus agassizii (Agassiz's desert tortoise) is the source of this 1467-nucleotide long non-coding RNA. NCBI's taxonomy places the organism in Eukaryota, Metazoa, Chordata, Testudines, Testudinidae. The record is from Ensembl.